This 1275-nucleotide long non-coding RNA is filed under the name Equus caballus (horse). RNAcentral's name for it is "lncRNA (ENSECAG00000055829.1)". The record is from RNAcentral. Lineage: Eukaryota; Metazoa; Chordata; Mammalia; Perissodactyla; Equidae.
UGUAGAUGCGUUGCUGCAAGGUUGAGUAGCACGCUAAAGGCAAAUGGUUGGCAUGUGGAGAGUCAGGAUCUAAGCCAGGAAGGCUGACUUCAGAGCCCUUGCUCUGAACCCUAAUGCAGCCUGCCUCCAAGGGUAUCAUUAUUGGUACUGAAUUGUGUCCCCUCAAUAUUCAUAUGUUGAAGUCCUAACCCCAGUACACCUCACAAUGUGACUGUAUUUGGAGAUAAGGUCUUUAAAGAGAUCAGUAAGGUUAAAUGAUGUCAUAUGGGUGGGGUCCUGGUCCAAUGUGGCUGGUGUCUUUAUAAGAAAAAGGAGACACUGAGGAUGCAUGUACACAGAGGAAAGGCCAUAUGAAGACACAGAGAGAAGACCGACAUCUUUAAGGCAAGGAGACAGACUUCAGGGGAAACCAACCCUGCUGACAUUCCAAUCUUGGACUUCCAGCCUCCAGAAACUAUGAGACCUGAAGGCUGAAUAGGAGUGAGCCCAGUCAAGAAGAGACAGCAAUUGUGAAGAGGCUGCAGUGAGAGAGAGCUUGGCACAUUCCAGAAACUGAAUGCAGGAGGCUGUGUGCUGGAGAGCAGAGAAGGCAGCGGCAGGAGAUGAGUCUAGAGAGGGAAAGAAAUCGGAAGAUUGUUGGAGAGAUUCAAGCCUAUUGAAGUGUUCUCUGAACUCCCAGAAUGUCCCCAUGGAGGCAGAUUUUAAAUGAACCUUCUGGGUCUCCCAUUGCAAGGAGAUGGGCUUUCUGGAACACUGUUGAGCUGAAGGCACCUGAGUGUUGUUACAUUUGCCACAAGAACUAGGAGAACUCAAAGUCUGGCAAGUUUCCUGGGUGCACUAAUGUCUGUUGUUCCUGAACGGUGUUAGAAGCCUGUGUCUGAAGUGGCAAAGACAUCCCAAAACCUGGGCUGUUUCUCUACUGGCAAGAUCCCACCUCUACCAAACAUGUCACCAGCAGUCACACACUCUGCAAGCACUCUUGGGAUGAGGAAAACACAGCCCAAAGACAUGCUCGUUGCAUUUGUUCUGUAAACUCACCUCACUUCUACUCUUUUCUGUUUUUCUGUCUAACUAGAUCAGAACCAUCUGCCUACUCAUCCUCUCCACUUGGACGUCUCAUAGGCAUCUCAAGACUUAAAAUGUCCCCAAAGCAAAUUCUUGAUCCCCACUUCCUCCUAAACUUGCCCAACCCUCCAGUCUUCUUUAUCUCAAUAAAGCAAUUUUAUUCACUCUGCUCCUCAGAGUAAAAACCUUGGAGCCAGCUUUGACUCCUUU